Long non-coding RNA from Oncorhynchus keta (chum salmon), 1167 nucleotides. RefSeq lists it as uncharacterized. The record is from RefSeq and is a predicted model, not a curated record. The transcript has 5 exons. Lineage: Eukaryota; Metazoa; Chordata; Actinopteri; Salmoniformes; Salmonidae.
GGAGGUUAUGUAUGUUUGUUAUAUUUUCACAGGGAGGUUAUGUAUGUUCGUUAUAUUUUCACAGGGAGGUUAUGUAUGUUUGUUAUAUUUUCACAGGGAGGUUAUGUAUGUUUGUUAUAUUUUCACAGGGAGGUUAUGUAUGUUCGUUAUAUUUUCACAGGGAGGUUAUGUAUGUUUGUUAUAUUUUCACAGGGAGGUUAUGUAUGUUCGUUAUAUUUUCACAGGGAGGUUAUGUAUGUUUGUUAUAUUUUCACAGGGAGGUUAUGUAUGUUUGUUAUAUUUUCACAGGGAGGUUAUGUAUGUUCGUUAUAUUUUCACAGGGAGGUUAUGUAUGUUUGUUAUAUUUUCACAGGGAGGUUAUGUAUGUUUGUUAUAUUUUCACAGGGAGGUUAUGUAUGUUCGUUAUAUUUUCACAGGGAGGUUAUGUAUGUUUGUUAUAUUUUCACAGGGAGGUUAUGUAUGUUUGUUAUAUUUUCACAGGGAGGUUAUGUAUGUUCGUUAUAUUUUCACAGGGAGGUUAUGUAUGUUUGUUAUAUUUUCACAGGGAGGUUAUGUAUGUUUGUUAUAUUUUCACAGGGAGGUUAUGUAUGUUCGUUAUAUUUUCACAGGGAGGUUGGUGUUUUUAAAAAAAAAUUCUUAUCCUGGAACUAAUUAUUAUUUAAAAGAUCAGACGUGUUGAUCCCAUGUUUCUCUCUCUCAUGCUCUUACACUAUGCACACACACCAUUUCUUUCACAUUAACUAUUGUUUUCGCAUGAACUUUCACCUGUCUGUGUGGUUUUUACUGGUGUUGUUUCACAUCUUGCUACUUCCACGGAAAGCCUCCGGCCACUCACAGCUUGUUUUCUAGGUUCCUCUGUGGUCACUGUACAGCAGUAAGUAGCAGCCUCCCACCUGCCCUUAGGCCAACGGUUCAAAGGUUGUAUACUGUCUGUCUAAACAUACAGCACAUCUGGCUUUCAAUGCAUCAGAGAAAUCAGGGGAUUUUUCCCUCAGUAUCAUAUUGAUUUGUUGAAGAAUGGUUAAAGACAUGGAUCAACGAAUGGGAGAGAAAAAAUAUUUAGGUUUCACAAGUUUAUGUAGUAUAGGACGUUUUGCUGUCCAUUAUAGGCAUACGUGUUGUGCCAUGGUUACACAUAAUUACAUACAGUGCCUUGCGAAAGUAUUC